This 478-nucleotide ribosomal RNA is filed under the name uncultured bacterium. RNAcentral describes it as "partial 16S ribosomal RNA". It matches the Rfam family "Bacterial small subunit ribosomal RNA", at positions 28 to 523 of the family's 1533-position model. The record is from RNAcentral.
GACGAACGCUGGCGGCGUGCUUAACACAUGCAAGUCGAACGGUAAGGCCCUUCGGGGUACACGAGUGGCGAACGGGUGAGUAACACGUGGGUGAUCUGCCCUGCACUUCGGGAUAAGCCUGGGAAACUGGUUCUAAUACCGGAUAGGACCACUGCCUGCAUGGGUGGGGGUGGAAAGCUUUUGCGGUGUGGGAUGGGCCCGCGGCCUAUCAGCUUGUUGGUGGGGUGAUGGCCUACCAAGGCGACGACGGGUAGCCGGCCUGAGAGGGUGACCGGCCACACUGGGACUGAGAUACGGCCCAGACUCCUACGGGAGGCAGCAGUGGGGAAUAUUGCACAAUGGGCGCAAGCCUGAUGCAGCGACGCCGCGUGAGGGAUGACGGCCUUCGGGUUGUAAACCUCUUUCAGCACCGACGAAGCGCAAGUGACGGUAGGUGCAGAAGAAGGACCGGCCAACUACGUGCCAGCCGCCGCAGUAA